GAGUUUGAUCAUGGCUCAGGAUUAACGCUAGCGGCAGGCCUAAUACAUGCAAGUCGUACGGUAACAGGUCCAGCAAUGGAUGCUGACGAGUGGCGCACGGGUGCGUAACACGUAUGCAACCUACCUUUGACUGGGAGAUAGCCCCGAGAAAUCGGGAUUAAUACCCCAUACAAUUACGAUGAGACAUCUCAUUGUAAUGAAAGCUCCGGCGGUCUUAGAUGGGCAUGCGCGACAUUAGCUAGUUGGUGAGGUAACGGCUCACCAAGGCACCGAUGUCUAGGGGUUCUGAGAGGAUUCACCCCCACACUGGUACUGAGACACGGACCAGACUCCUACGGGAGGCAGCAGUAAGGAAUAUUGGUCAAUGGACGCAAGUCUGAACCAGCCAUGCCGCGUGCAGGAAGACAGCCCUACGGGUUGUAAACUGCUUUUGUACGGGAAAAAACCUCCGGUCGUGCACCGGAGCUGAUGGUACCGUAAGAAUAAGCAUCGGCUAACUCCGUGCCAGCAGCCGCGGUAAUACGGAGGAUGCAAGCGUUAUCCGGAUUCAUUGGGUUUAAAGGGUGCGCAGGCGGAAUGAUAAGUCAGUGGUGAAAUCCUACGGCUCAACCGUAGAACUGCCAUUGAUACUGUCGUUCUUGAGUACACUUGAA
This 653-nucleotide ribosomal RNA is filed under the name uncultured Bacteroidota bacterium. RNAcentral describes it as "bacterial SSU rRNA". It matches the Rfam family "Bacterial small subunit ribosomal RNA", at positions 9 to 656 of the family's 1533-position model. Lineage: Bacteria; Pseudomonadati; Bacteroidota. The record is from RNAcentral.